Long non-coding RNA from Amphibalanus amphitrite, 427 nucleotides. RefSeq lists it as uncharacterized. The record is from RefSeq and is a predicted model, not a curated record. NCBI's taxonomy places the organism in Eukaryota, Metazoa, Arthropoda, Thecostraca, Balanomorpha, Balanidae. The transcript has 3 exons.
GCGGCGCACACACGGCCUGUCAAACCACAGUGGGCGGCUCAGUUCUGCAUUCAACUCAGAGGGAGCGUGCGUUUUACCGAGACGUCUCCGUAGAAACUGUGUCAUGGCCUGUAGGUAGCUGUGAUUUGUGACUAACGUUGAGGCCUGUCUAAAAAGCGAAGUCUUCUAGUUUGGAAGAACCUGAAGGUGAUCGAAUACCCUACUUCCUGUAUAUGCUCAAGAACUCAUAAACACUGGAGCAUGCGUGAAAACAUGACCUAUAGAAGGCGUUUAUCGUUGCUCGUCUCUGGCUUUGUGACAGCAGUUUUCUUGGUCGGGAAAUGCAGAGGACAGCUCGUCAAUUUCCCUCCAUUUGCGACCCAGAACGGCUUCGGUGCACUCAACGCCAUCCAACAGACACCGGCAAGGCUGCUCGGCACAGGUGAGG